AGUGAACGCUGGCGGUAGGCCUAACACAUGCAAGUCGAACGGCAGCACAGUAAGAGCUUGCUCUUACGGGUGGCGAGUGGCGGACGGGUGAGGAAUACAUCGGAAUCUACUUUUUCGUGGGGGAUAACGUAGGGAAACUUACGCUAAUACCGCAUACGACCUACGGGUGAAAGCAGGGGAUCUUCGGACCUUGCGCGAUUGAAUGAGCCGAUGUCGGAUUAGCUAGUUGGCGGGGUAAAGGCCCACCAAGGCGACGAUCCGUAGCUGGUCUGAGAGGAUGAUCAGCCACACUGGAACUGAGACACGGUCCAGACUCCUACGGGAGGCAGCAGUGGGGAAUAUUGGACAAUGGGCGCAAGCCUGAUCCAGCCAUACCGCGUGGGUGAAGAAGGCCUUCGGGUUGUAAAGCCCUUUUGUUGGGAAAGAAAUCCAGCCGGCUAAUACCUAGCUGGGAUGACGGUACCCAAAGAAUAAGCACCGGCUAACUUCGUG
Molecule: ribosomal RNA, 492 nt
Filed under: uncultured bacterium
Lineage: Bacteria
Description: partial 16S ribosomal RNA
Rfam family: Bacterial small subunit ribosomal RNA
Source: RNAcentral